Molecule: ribosomal RNA, 486 nt
Filed under: uncultured bacterium
Lineage: Bacteria
Description: partial 16S ribosomal RNA
Rfam family: Bacterial small subunit ribosomal RNA
Source: RNAcentral
AUUGAACGCUGGCGGCAUGCCUUACACAUGCAAGUCGAACGGCAGCACGGGUGCUUGCACCUGGUGGCGAGUGGCGCACGGGUGAGUAAUACAUCGGAACAUGUCCUGUAGUGGGGGAUAGCCCGGCGAAAGCCGGAUUAAUACCGCAUACGAUCUACGGAUGAAAGCGGGGGACCUUCGGGACUCGCGCUAUGGGGUUGGCCGAUGGCUGAUUAGCUAGUUGGUGGGGUAAAGGCCUACCAAGGCGACGAUCAGUAGCUGGUCUGAGAGGACGACCAGCCACACUGGAACUGAGACACGGCCCAGACUCCUACGGGAGGCAGCAGUGGGGAAUUUUGGACAAAGGGCGAAAGCCUGAUCCAGCAAUGCCGCGUGUGUGAAGAAGGCCUUCGGGUUGUAAAGCACUGUUGUCCGGAAAGAAAAACUGGGCCCUAAUACAGGCGGGGGAUGACGGUACCGGAAGAAUAAGCACCGGCUAACUACGUG